GUGAGUCAUCGAAUCUUUGAACGCACAUUGCGCCCCGUGGUAUUCUGCGGGGCAUGCCUGUCCGAGCGUCAUUCUACUCCCUCGAGCCACCUGCUCGGUAUUGGACUAGGCCGCCGUAGCCAGUCCUAAAGCUAGUGGCGGUGCCACCGUGACUCUGAGCGUAGUUAUGUUCUGCCGCUCUAGCGUCUGGUGGUAGCUUGCCAGCAGUCUCUCUAGCUUGACCUCGGAUCAGGUAGGGCUACCCGCUGAACUUAAGCAUAUCAAUAAGCGGAGGA
Molecule: unclassified non-coding RNA, 275 nt
Filed under: Oidiodendron sp.
Lineage: Eukaryota; Fungi; Ascomycota; Leotiomycetes; Myxotrichaceae
Description: partial contains 5.8S ribosomal RNA, internal transcribed spacer 2, and large subunit ribosomal RNA
Rfam family: 5.8S ribosomal RNA (bases 1-71)
Source: RNAcentral